AAGGCUCUAGCUUAAUUAAAGUGUCUGGGUUGCAUUCAGACGAUGCAGGGUAGUAUCCUGCGGGCUUUA
RNAcentral lists this transfer RNA (69 nucleotides) under Jynx torquilla (Eurasian wryneck). Its description in RNAcentral is "tRNA-Ala". It matches the Rfam family "tRNA". From Rfam's summary of the family: Transfer RNA (tRNA) molecules are approximately 80 nucleotides in length. Their secondary structure includes four short double-helical elements and three loops (D, anti-codon, and T loops). The record is from RNAcentral. Lineage: Eukaryota; Metazoa; Chordata; Aves; Piciformes; Picidae.